GAGUUUGAUCCUGGUUCAGGAUGAACGCUAGCGACAGGCUUAACACAUGCAAGUCGAGGGGCAGCACAGGUAGCAAUACCGGGUGGCGACCGGCGCACGGGUGAGUAACGCGUAUGCAACUUACCUAUCAGAGGGGGAUAACCCGGCGAAAGUCGGACUAAUACCGCAUAAAGCAGGGAUCCCGCAUGGGAAUAUUUGCUAAAGAUUCAUCGCUGAUAGAUAGGCAUGCGUUCCAUUAGGCAGUUGGCGGGGUAACGGCCCACCAAACCGACGAUGGAUAGGGGUUCUGAGAGGAAGGUCCCCCACAUUGGUACUGAGACACGGACCAAACUCCUACGGGAGGCAGCAGUGAGGAAUAUUGGUCAAUGGGCGUAAGCCUGAACCAGCCAAGUCGCGUGAGGGAUGAAGGUUCUAUGGAUCGUAAACCUCUUUUAUAAGGGAAUAAAGUGUGGGACGUGUCCUAUUUUGUAUGUACCUUAUGAAUAAGGAUCGGCUAACUCCGUGCCAGCAGCCGCGGUAAUAC
RNAcentral lists this ribosomal RNA (523 nucleotides) under uncultured Parabacteroides sp. RNAcentral describes it as "bacterial SSU rRNA". It matches the Rfam family "Bacterial small subunit ribosomal RNA", at positions 9 to 526 of the family's 1533-position model. The record is from RNAcentral. Lineage: Bacteria; Pseudomonadati; Bacteroidota; Bacteroidia; Bacteroidales; Tannerellaceae.